GGGGGGGUCGGGGGUGAGCAAUGGGGUCCCAGGGCUGUGGGGUCCUGCUGCUGCAGCCGCUCUGUGGGGCAGGGAUGAGGGGGUCACAGGUCAUGGGGUCACAGGUCAGGGGUCGUAGGUCAUGGGGUCACUGGGUGAGCAGUGGGGUCCCAGGGCUGCGCAGUCCUGCUGCUGCAGCUGCUCUGUGGGGUCAGAGGUCACGGGGUCAUAGGUCACAGGGUGAGCACAGGGGUGCCAGGGCUGUGGGGUCCUGCUGCUGCAGCCGCUCUAUGGGGCAGGGGUCAGGGGUCAUGGGGUCAGAGGUCACAGGGUGAGCACAGGGGUCCCAGGGUUAUGCGGUCCUGCUGCUGCAGCCGCUCUAUGGGGUCAGAGGUCAGGGGUCAUGGGGUCAGGGGGGCACGGGGUGAGCAGUGGGGUCACAGGGUCAUGGGGAUGUGGGGUGAGGGUGCCAGGGCUGUGGGGUCCCGCUGCUGCAGCCGCUCUAUGGGGCAGGGGUGAAGGGUCAUGGGGUCACAGGUCAGGGGUCAUAGGUCAUGGGGUCACUGGGUGAGCAGUGGGGUCCCAGGGCUGUGGGGUCCCGCUGCUGCAGCCGCUCUGUGGGGCAGGGGGCAAAGGUCAGGGGUCAUGGGGUGAGCAGUGGGGUCACAGAGACGUGGGGUGAUGGGAACGCAGUGAGGGAUAUGGGCUGUGGGGUGGGGUCACGGGGUCAGGAGGUCACGGGGUCACGGGGUCAGGAGGUCGCGGGGUCGCGGGCGCCCACCCCUCAGUUUGCGCAGUGACGCCUCCACCUCCGUCUCAAUCAGCGGGAAGUCCUGCCGGCUGGGGCACCUGCGGGCACCCCAUAGCGCCCCAUAGCACCCCAUAGCGCCCCAUAGUGCCCCACAGUGCCCCAUAGCACCCCACAGAGCCCCACAGUGCCCCACAGCACCCUAUAGCGCCCCACAGCACCCCAUAGCGCCCCACAGUGCCCCAUAGCAUCCCACA
Molecule: long non-coding RNA, 984 nt
Filed under: Gallus gallus (chicken)
Lineage: Eukaryota; Metazoa; Chordata; Aves; Galliformes; Phasianidae
Description: lncRNA (ENSGALG00010028810.1)
Source: RNAcentral